CCUUACAAAUGCAAAUCAAAUACAGGUUUUUGUCAGCUUAUCUGGAAAUCUUGGGACAUCACUGAUUUGAUCAAGAAUUUAUCCAGGAUGAAGUCCAGCCAUGUGCCUCACCUGUCAUGACAUUAUUAAAGCACUUUGUGACAGUGGGAAGAUGGAAUUUAAAACAUGACAUGGCUCUAUAUUACUACAUCAGAGACCAAUC
This is a long non-coding RNA of Saccostrea cuccullata (small rock oyster), 202 nucleotides long. RefSeq lists it as uncharacterized. Lineage: Eukaryota; Metazoa; Mollusca; Bivalvia; Ostreida; Ostreidae. The record is from RefSeq and is a predicted model, not a curated record. The transcript has 3 exons.